Molecule: long non-coding RNA, 2851 nt
Filed under: Homo sapiens (human)
Lineage: Eukaryota; Metazoa; Chordata; Mammalia; Primates; Hominidae
Description: HSALNT0409549
Source: RNAcentral
CAGUCCACUGUCUCUGAGCUUAGUUCAACACUAGAAUUUGCAUAAGAGUUGUGGUCCUUAUAAAAGUCCUUGAAGACUGCCUUUCAGGUUUACUUAGAAACCCAGAGCAUUUUAACCCUCAGUAGUGAGCACACAGAGAUAUUCCUUCAGCAUACCAUACUGCCAUAGAGUGAUGGAGGAAUGACACCAGUAAUUUGAGACCUCUUCAGUGGCUCUGUGAUACAAAGUUAAAACCAGGUCUGCUGCAGUUUGCGGGAGGUCCACUCCAGACCCUGUUUGCCUGGGUGUCACCAGUGGAGGCUGCAGAACAGAAAGGAUUGCCACCUGCUCCUUCCUCUGGAAGCUUCAUCCCAGAGGGACACUGGCCUGAUGCCAGCCACAGCUCUCCUGUACAAGUGUUUAUUAUAUCCCUCUAUAUGGCCAUGUGUACUCAUCGUUCACCUUCCACUUACAUGUAAAAACAUAUGAAUGUUGCAUAUGCUGAGAAGAAUGUGUAUUCUACAGAUGCUGGAGGAAAUGUUCUGCAAAUAUCUAUUACAUUUAUUUGCCCUAUUGUAUAAAGUAAUGAUUGUGAUUCUUUUUAAAUUUUUAUUCUAGAUUAUCUGCCUUCUAGAUAAUGAAAUUGUAAAAGUCUGUUUUGUGAUAAAAAUGUCUUGAAGCCUUCAGCUGAUCUUUAGGAUUUUACUCUAUUGUUUAAAAUGUAUAAAUUUAAGUGUACAAUGCAAUUUUAUUACAUGAUCAUAUUGUGUAGUGAUAAAGUCAUGGUUUUAGUGUAUUAAUCAUCUGAAUAAUGUACAUUGUACUCAUUAAGUAUGUCUCAUCAACCAAGCUCUUUCCAUCCUUCCACAUUUCUGACUCUCCAAUGUGUAUCAUUCUAUACUUUAUGCCCAUGCUUACAAUAUUGUGAAUAUACAGUAUUUGACUUUAUGUUUCCAAGUUUGUUUGUUUUAGAUCAUGGCCUCCAGUUUUAUACAUGUCAAUAGAGAGGACAUGACUUUAUUCUUUUCUAUAAUGAAAUUGUAUUUUAUUAUGUUUAUGUAGCAUAUUUGUUUAAUCUAAUUAUAUGGUGAUAAUCAGUUUAGGUAAUUCUAUUGUUUUACUACUGUGAAUAAUGCUGCAAUACUUAUAUGAUAUGUAUUUUAUAUAAUGAUUUUAAUAUCUUUGAUAGAUACCCAGUAGUGGGAUUGCUGGAACAAGUGGUACUUACAGUUUUAGUUCUUUGAUAAAUAACCAUUCUGUUUUUCAUAGAGCUUAUACUAAUCUAUAUUCCCACCAACAGUAUUAAGCAUUCUUUCUUAGCAUCCUCAUCAUCUGUUUUUCUUUUUAUGUAAUAGCCAUUUUGAGUGGUGUAAUAUGAUAUCUAUCUUACGGUGGUUUUAGUUUGCAUUUCUUUGAUCAUUAGUGAUGUUGAACAUUGGCUUAUAUGCAUGCUGGCCUUUGGAUGUCUUCUUUUGAUAAAUGACUAUUCAUAUUAUUAAUAGCUUUUAUUAUCCUUUCAAAACUUAAAUUUUGGUUUUCACAAACACAUGAAGGUUUCUUACACAGUUAAACUCAGGUCAUAGGGAUGAGUUGUAAAGAUUAUUUCAUCACCUGGAAAUUAAGCCCAAUACCCAAUAGUUAUCUUUUCUGCUUGUCUCCCUUUUUCUUCCCACCAUCCUCAAGUAGACCCCACUGUCUGUUAUUUCCUUCUUUGUUUUAACAAGUAUUACUUAGCCCUAACCUUUGAUGAAAACUAUUGGUUUUCUCUUCCAGCAUUAGCUUACUCAGAUUAAUACCCUCCAUCUCCAUCCAUGUGCCUGCAAAAAAAAAACAUAAUCUUGCUUUUUUAUAUGUAUAUUGGCAUAGUAUUCCAUGGUAUAUAUAUGCCAUAUUGCUUUAUUCUAUCAUUAAUGAACAUUUAUAUUAAUAUCAUGUCUUUGCUAUUGUAAAUACUGCUGCUAUGAAUAUUCAUGUGUAUGUCUCUGUGUGGUAGGAUGAUUUAUGUAUCAUCCUUUGGUACACACUUAGUCAUAAAAUUGCUUAGCCAAAUGGUAGUUCUGCUUUUAGCCUUUUGCAGAAUCACAAUACUGCUUUCCACAAUGCUUGAACUAAUUUAUGCACCCACAAACAGUGUAUAUAUGUUUCCCUUUCUCUGCAGUCUUGCCAGCAUCUGUUACUAUUUCACUUUUUAGUAAUAGCUUUUCUGACAGCUGUGAGAUUGUAUCUUAUUGUGGUUUUGAUUUGCAUUUAUCUAAUCAUCACUGAUAUUGAGCUUUUUUUAUACAUGAUUAUUGGCAGCAUGUAUGUCUUCUUUUAAAAAAAAUCUGUUCAUGUCCUUUUCCCAUUUUUAAUGGGGUUUUCUAUUGGAAUUGUGUUAAAGUUCUUUAUAGAUGUUGGGUAUUAGACUUUUUCAGAUGCAUAGUUUGCAAAAUUUUUCAGAUUUUUGUCAGAUGCACAGGUUGCAAAAUUUUCUCCCAUUCUGUAGGUUGUCUGUGUACUCUGUUGAUAGUUUCUUUUGCUGUACAAAGUAACAUUUUAAUGGUUUUAUUUGUUUUUCCUGUUGCUUGAGUUUAUUAUAUAUUCUAGAUAUCAGUGUAUUUCUUUUGUUUCUACCCUGACCUUUGUAAUUUAUAAUUUUCUACACAUUGUGAGUAGUUUCAUUUUGUUUUCCUAAAACUCUGAGUUGUCUUAUUUGACUUUUUAGAGCUUUUUACUUUUAAGUGUUGGAAUUUGUUGCUAUCAACUUUUCUAUUUUAGCGAUAUUUGAUUUUUCUUUUUAAUUUUAUAUAUUGUGUUUACUUUUUUAUUUGUCUCAACAUUUAAACAUUUUUAUUUUUACUUUUUUUGGUUCAUUGAUUUUUCAGGAGCAUGC